Molecule: ribosomal RNA, 520 nt
Filed under: uncultured Entrophospora
Lineage: Eukaryota; Fungi; Glomeromycota; Glomeromycetes; Entrophosporales; Entrophosporaceae
Description: SSU rRNA
Rfam family: Eukaryotic small subunit ribosomal RNA
Source: RNAcentral
CGCAGCCGCGGUAAUUCCAGCUCCAAUAGCGUAUAUUAAAGUUGUUGCAGUUAAAAAGCUCGUAGUUGAAUUUCGGGAUUGACGUGACGGUCGUGCCUUACGGGGUAUGAACUGUUGCAGUCAAUUUCUCACCUUCUGGAGAAAUAUGAUGUCCUUAAUUGGGUGUCAUAUGGAACCAGGACCUUUACCUUGAAAAAAUUAGAGUGUUUAAAGCAAGCAUAUUGCUCGAAUACAUUAGCAUGGAAUAAUAAAAUAGGACGGCUUGAUUCUAUUUUGUUGGUUUCUAGGAUCACCGUAAUGAUUAAUAGGGAUAGUUGGGGGCAUUAGUAUUCAAUUGUCAGAGGUGAAAUUCUUGGAUUUAUUGAAGACUAACUACUGCGAAAGCAUUUGCCAAGGAUGUUUUCAUUAAUCAAGAACGAAAGUUAGGGGAUCGAAGACGAUCAGAUACCGUCGUAGUCUUAACCAUAAACUAUGCCGACUAGGAAUCAGGCGAUGUUAAUUUUUUAAUGUACUCGUUUGG